AACGAACGCUGGCGGCAUGCCUAACACAUGCAAGUCGAACGAGACCUUCGGGUCUAGUGGCGCACGGGUGCGUAACGCGUGGGAACCUGCCCUUAGGUUCGGAAUAACUCCCCGAAAGGGGUGCUAAUACCGGAUAAUGUCUUCGGACCAAAGAUUUAUCGCCUUUGGAUGGGCCCGCGUUGGAUUAGCUAGUUGGUAGGGUAAAAGCCUACCAAGGCGACGAUCCAUAGCUGGUCUGAGAGGAUGAUCAGCCACACUGGGACUGAGACACGGCCCAGACUCAUACGGGAGGCAGAAGUGGGGAAUAUUGGACAAUGGGCGAAAGCCUGAUCCAGCAAUGCCGCGUGAGUGAUGAAGGCCUUAGGGUUGUAAAGCUCUUUUACCCGGGAUGAUAAUGACAGUACCGGGAGAAUAAGCUCCGGCUAACUCCGUG
Molecule: ribosomal RNA, 433 nt
Filed under: uncultured bacterium
Lineage: Bacteria
Description: partial 16S ribosomal RNA
Rfam family: Bacterial small subunit ribosomal RNA
Source: RNAcentral